UACGUAGGGUGCAAGCAUUAAUCGGAAUUAUUGGGCGUAAAGGGCGCGUAGGCGGUCUAACAAGUCAGAUGUGAAAUUUCGGGGCUCAACCUCGAAGCUGCAUUUGAAACUGAGAGACUAGAGGGUUGUCGGAGAAAACGGAAUUCCACGUGUAGCGGUGAAAUGCGUAGAUAUGUGGAAGAACACCAGUGGCGAAAGCGGUUUUCUAGAUUACACCUGACGCUGAGGCGCGAGAGCAAGGGGAGCAAACAGG
This 253-nucleotide ribosomal RNA is filed under the name uncultured bacterium. Its description in RNAcentral is "partial 16S ribosomal RNA". It matches the Rfam family "Bacterial small subunit ribosomal RNA", at positions 524 to 776 of the family's 1533-position model. The record is from RNAcentral.